CGGAGGAUCCAAGCGUUAUCCGGAAUCAUUGGGUUUAAAGGGUCCGUAGGCGGUUUAGUAAGUCAGUGGUGAAAGCCCAUCGCUCAACGGUGGAACGGCCAUUGAUACUGCUAGACUUGAAUUAUUAGGAAGUAACUAGAAUAUGUAGUGUAGCGGUGAAAUGCUUAGAGAUUACAUGGAAUACCAAUUGCGAAGGCAGGUUACUACUAAUGGAUUGACGCUGAUGGACGAAAGCGUGGGUAGCGAACAGGAUUAGAUACCCUGGUAGUCCACGCCGUAAACGAUGGAUACUAGCUGUUGGGCGCAAGUUCAGUGGCUAAGCGAAAGUGAUAAGUAUCCCACCUGGGGAGUACGUCCGCAAGAAUG
Molecule: ribosomal RNA, 366 nt
Filed under: uncultured organism
Description: bacterial SSU rRNA
Rfam family: Bacterial small subunit ribosomal RNA
Source: RNAcentral